This 469-nucleotide ribosomal RNA is filed under the name uncultured bacterium. RNAcentral's name for it is "partial 16S ribosomal RNA". It matches the Rfam family "Bacterial small subunit ribosomal RNA", at positions 28 to 507 of the family's 1533-position model. The record is from RNAcentral.
GACGAACGCUGGCGGCGUGCUUAACACAUGCAAGUCGAACGGAAAGGCCCUGCUUGCAGGGUGCUCGAGUGGCGAACGGGUGAGUAACACGUGGGUGAUCUGCCCCUUACUUUGGGAUAAGCCUGGGAAACUGGGUCUAAUACUGGAUAGGACCAUGCUGUAGGUGGUGUGGUGGAAAGAUUAGUUUCGGUAAGGGAUGAGCUCGCGGCCUAUCAGCUUGUUGGUGGGGUAAUGGCCUACCAAGGCGUCGACGGGUAGCCGGCCUGAGAGGGUGGACGGCCACAUUGGGACUGAGAUACGGCGCAGAAGCCUACGGGAGGCAGCAGUGGGGAAUAUUGCACAAUGGGCGCAAGCCUGAUGCAGCGACGCCGCGUGGGGGAUGACGGCCUUCGGGUUGUAAACUCCUUUCAGCCAUGACGAAGCCCUUGUGGUGACGGUAGUGGUAGAAGAAGCACCGGCUAACUACGUG